UGCCCCGGAUGGUUCAGUGGUCAGAACAUCUGCCUAGUAAGCAGGAGGCCCAGGUUCAGAUCCUGGUCCGGCAC
Non-coding RNA from Schistocerca nitens (vagrant locust), 74 nucleotides. Lineage: Eukaryota; Metazoa; Arthropoda; Insecta; Orthoptera; Acrididae. The record is from the annotation of a RefSeq genome assembly.